GUUAAGUGCGUGCCAGGAGGUGGGGUAUGACGGUGGAUGUAGUGGUUAGGCGUAGUUACGUGGAGUAAGGCGGUCGUAGGGUGUUGGGUAAUGUGGAUGGGAAAGCCCGGGGUGUAAGCGGAGAAGUGCAUCGGAUACUGGAAGAUGAGAGGGUGGGAGAGGGAGAUGGAAUUUGUUGUGUAGGGGUAAAAUGCGUAGAGAUAAGAAGGAAUACCAAAGGCGAAGGCGAUAUCCUGGACCAGUACUGACGCUGAGGCGCGAAAGCGUGGGGAGCAAACAGGAUUAGAUACCCUGGUAGUC
This 300-nucleotide ribosomal RNA is filed under the name uncultured Natrialba sp. RNAcentral describes it as "bacterial SSU rRNA". It matches the Rfam family "Bacterial small subunit ribosomal RNA", at positions 496 to 795 of the family's 1533-position model. The record is from RNAcentral. Lineage: Archaea; Methanobacteriati; Methanobacteriota; Halobacteria; Halobacteriales; Natrialbaceae.